This is a non-coding RNA of Callithrix jacchus (white-tufted-ear marmoset), 1587 nucleotides long. Lineage: Eukaryota; Metazoa; Chordata; Mammalia; Primates; Cebidae. The record is from RefSeq and is a predicted model, not a curated record.
UAGCAGCUGCCAAAGUGACAGUUGGAGUCCCUCAGGUUCCACGCCCUCAGGGCAGAGGUGAAGGAGGUGGAGGAACCCAGGCCCACGGAGGGAAGGCUGCAGCCCGAAGUCACCGCCCAAAGCUGAAGUGGGGCCGGGGACCCGGCCUCUCAGAGCACCAACCCUGCCCCAGGGAGCGAGUUACCGCAGUCCAGGCGUGGGCCGAGCACCGGGAACACGUCCAGCCUUCGUUGACCAGCUCGGGACGGAUGCCAUAGCAACCUGGAAGACAGCGGGGCCAGCUGAGACCUGGGGAGAAAGGCCCAGGUCGCAGAGUCAACUCGCUUAUGGACGUGGCCCUGGGUCUGGAAGUGGGGAGAGGGCAUGGAGGGCCAAGUCAUGCUCCCAGAGCAACGGCAGGGGCUCCACCUGCCCCCGGGCUCUGCCUCUGCUUCCAGAGCGACGGCAGGGGCUCCACCUGCCCCAGGGCUCUGCCUCUGCUCCCAGAGCGACGGCAGGGGCUCCACCUGCCCCCGGGCUCUGCCUCUGCUCCCAGAGCGACGGCAGGGGCUCCACCUGUCCCAGGGCUCUGCCCCUGCAGCGUGGAAAAUGCUCUCUGCCAGGGCUGAUGGCCCAGAUCUCACGGCCUCCAGAACAGCCCGGCAAAGCAGAGUGAACACCCUCCCAGCCAGGAGACACAGCCACUGCCAGGAGGAAACCGACAGAGAUGGAUGGCUGCCGCCCGGCCAGGGCACAGAAAAUUAAACUUCUCCAGAAAGCCCUCCUCCUAUGCUGGAAGUUCAUUUCCUGCCACCCUCUAGCGCCUGGGAAAGAGACAUCCAUUUCCUUGUGUGCUGGUUGAGCCUCAGGACUGGGGAGGGGUCCCUGAGAACAGAGAUAAAUCAGACACCUGGACCACGCGGCAAUCUCACUGUGACCAUCAGUUUCAACCCCGGCCCCAAAUCACAGGCGUAGUGGGCGCCUGAGCUUUUCCUGCUGCUGCCCAGGCCUUGGGAAGGACGCAGCAGAACUGUCCAGAGGGACAAAGGGGAGGGACCGUGCCCGGGUCAGGGUCAAGGGCAGGGAUGUCUGCCCACAAAGGCUGCUUGGCAGAGAGAGCGCCUGGCAGGGAGCCCUGCCUGGGGGAGGCAGGGCGCGGGCCUCUGGUCCUCCUGGGGCGUGCCUGGCCCACUUCUCACUCUGGCCUUAGGGUGAGCUCCCCGGUGUCAGGGACAGGGUGGGAUGAGCCCAGGGCCCUCAGAACAAAGGCUUCCUCCCCCCAGAGGCUGGCACGUGGGCCUGCACUGGUGUCUUCCAGACCCUGGGGGAGAGGAGGCCUGUCCUGCCUAGGGGUGGUGGCGGUCACCUGGCCCUUCCGUGGCCACAGCCUUUCCCCUUCUCUAGAUGGUGGGACUGCAGGCCAGCAGCCCCAUGACAGGAAAGACGAGAAAGUCCGAAACUGCAGGAAGUUACCGGGGGAGGCCACUGCCCCAUCCCCAAAACAGCAGCCAGGGAGAGGGGCCGGCCUGGCUUCUGCAGGGGAGGACGGCACUCCCCACAGCACCCCACUGCAGACGCGGCUCCUUGGGUCCCUGGCACUCACUGGCG